AGGACGAACGCUGGCGGCGUGCUUAACACAUGCAAGUCGAGCGGUAAGGCCUUUCGGGGUACACGAGCGGCGAACGGGUGAGUAACACGUGGGUGAUCUGCCCUGCACUUCGGGAUAAGCCUGGGAAACUGGGUCUAAUACCGGAUAUGACCUCAGGUUGCAUGACUUGGGGUGGAAAGAUUUAUCGGUGCAGGAUGGGCCCGCGGCCUAUCAGCUUGGUUGGUGGGGUAAUGGCCUACCCAGGCGACGACGGGUAGCCGACCUGAGAGGGUGACCGG
This 278-nucleotide ribosomal RNA is filed under the name uncultured soil bacterium. Its description in RNAcentral is "partial 16S ribosomal RNA". It matches the Rfam family "Bacterial small subunit ribosomal RNA", at positions 26 to 307 of the family's 1533-position model. The record is from RNAcentral.